RNAcentral lists this non-coding RNA (821 nucleotides) under Allognathotermes hypogeus. The record is from RNAcentral. Lineage: Eukaryota; Metazoa; Arthropoda; Insecta; Blattodea; Termitidae.
GUGAAGUUUUAUUCUUGCUUUUUCAUUCAGUUUGCGUUUGUUCUAUAUGUAAGUUUUUGUGUGAAUUUCUUUUAUGUUCUAGAUGGACUAGGGAUUAAAAAGGUUGUUUUGUAAUUCUCAUUAGUUAUUAUUGGUUGAUUUAGUUUUCUUUUAUUCAGCAAUUCGUUUUAGUUUCGGUUAAAUUUUGUGCCAGCAGCCGCGGUUAUACCUUGGAGGCAUUUGAAUGUGUUUGGCUUUAAAUUGUAGUUAUAUGAUUUAGUUUUGGUUGAUUUUAUUUUUGUGGUUGUUAGGUGAAAUUUUUAUUGUUUUUGUUUUCUUUUGAUUGUUUGGAGGCUGCGAAAUUCUUUUUUUAGACUAGGAUUAGAUACCCUAUUAUUUUAGAAUGUUAAUUUUUAUGCCUGAGUAGUAUUAGUAUAUGUUCUUGAAACUUAAAGAAUUUGGCGGUAUCUUAUACCAUCCAGAGGAAUCUGUCUCGUUAUCGAUAGUCCGCGUUGGACCUUUCUUAGUUGCUAUGGUUUGUAUACCGCCGUUUAUUGAUUAUCUUUUUAGGGUUAUUUAAUUUUCUUGUUUCUUUAUUUUGAUUUAUUUCAGGUCAAGGUGCAGCUUGUUUCUAAGUGGUAUGAUGGAUUACAUUGUUAUUUGUUUUAUUGGAUUGUUGAUUUUUAUAUUGGCGUGAAAUUGGAUUUGGUUGUAAUUUUUUGUAGAUUGUUUUUAUGAUAAUUGGUUCUGAGAUAUGUACACAUCGCCCGUCGCUCUCGUUUAUUUGUUAAUGAGAUAAGUCGUAACAAAGUGGUUGUACCGGAAGGUGUAGCUGGAUUGAU